This 238-nucleotide ribosomal RNA is filed under the name uncultured bacterium. Its description in RNAcentral is "partial 16S ribosomal RNA". It matches the Rfam family "Bacterial small subunit ribosomal RNA", at positions 100 to 334 of the family's 1533-position model. The record is from RNAcentral.
CCGGCACGGGUGGAGUAACACGUAUGCAAUCCACCUGUAACAGGGGGAUAACCCGGAGAAAUCGGACUAAUACCGCAUGAAGCAGGGAUCCCGCAUGGGAAUAUUUGCUAAAGAUUCAUCGCUGAUAGAUAGGCAUGCGUUCCAUUAGGCAGUUGGCGGGGUAACGGCCCACCAAACCGACGAUGGAUAGGGGUUCUGAGAGGAAGGUCCCCCACAUUGGUACUGAGACACGGACCAA